AUUGAACGCUGGCGGCAGGCCUAACACAUGCAAGUCGAGCGAGUGGCGGACGGGUGAGUAAUGUAUGGGGAUCUGCCCGAUGGAGGGGGAUAACUACUGGAAACGGUGGCUAAUACCGCAUACCAUCGGAUGUGCCCAUAUGGGAUUAGCUAGUAGGUGGGGUAAAGGCUCACCUAGGCGACGAUCCCUAGCUGGUCUGAGAGGAUGAUCAGCCACACUGGAACUGCGACACGGUCCAGACUCCUACGGGAGGCAGCAGUGGGGAAUAUUGCACAAUGGGCGCAAGCCUGAUGCAGCCAUGCCGCGUGUAUGAAGAAGGCCUUCGGGUUGUAAAGUACUUUCAGCGGGGAGGCGUUACCCGCAGAAGAAGCACCGGCUAACUCCGUGCCAGCCGCCGCGGUAAUUC
RNAcentral lists this ribosomal RNA (406 nucleotides) under uncultured bacterium. RNAcentral's name for it is "partial 16S ribosomal RNA". It matches the Rfam family "Bacterial small subunit ribosomal RNA", at positions 30 to 526 of the family's 1533-position model. The record is from RNAcentral.